RNAcentral lists this ribosomal RNA (411 nucleotides) under uncultured bacterium. RNAcentral's name for it is "bacterial SSU rRNA". It matches the Rfam family "Bacterial small subunit ribosomal RNA", at positions 32 to 424 of the family's 1533-position model. The record is from RNAcentral.
AAUCAACGCUGGCGGCGUGCCUCAGACAUGCAAGUCGAACGCGAAAGUCCCCUUCGGGGGACAAGUAGAGUGGCGCACGGGUGAGUAACACGUAGGUAAUCCACCUUCGGAUGGGGAAUAACAACCGGAAACGGUUGCUAAUACCGCAUAAUGCAGCGGCACCUAAUGGUGACAGUUGUUAAAGCGGGGGAUCGAAAGACCUCGCGUCUGAAGAGGAGCCUGCGGCGGAUUAGCAGUUGGUAAGGUAACGGCUUACCAAGGCGACGAUCCGUAGCCGGCCUGAGAGGGCGGUCGGCCACACUGACACUGACAUACGGGUCAGACUCCUACGGGAGGCAGCAGUCGGGAAUUUGGGCAAUGGGCGAAAGCCUGACCCAGCAACGCCGCGUGAAGGAUGAAAUCCCUCGGGAU